Molecule: transfer RNA, 91 nt
Filed under: Bacillota bacterium
Lineage: Bacteria; Bacillati; Bacillota
Also listed under: 1 other name
Description: tRNA-Ser
Rfam family: tRNA
About the family: Transfer RNA (tRNA) molecules are approximately 80 nucleotides in length. Their secondary structure includes four short double-helical elements and three loops (D, anti-codon, and T loops).
Source: RNAcentral
GGAGUAGUACUCAAGAGGCUGAAGAGGCGCCCCUGCUAAGGGUGUAGGUCGGGUAACUGGCGCGCGAGUUCAAAUCUCGCCUACUCCGCCA